RNAcentral lists this ribosomal RNA (700 nucleotides) under uncultured beta proteobacterium. RNAcentral describes it as "bacterial SSU rRNA". It matches the Rfam family "Bacterial small subunit ribosomal RNA", at positions 77 to 773 of the family's 1533-position model. Lineage: Bacteria; Pseudomonadati; Pseudomonadota; Betaproteobacteria. The record is from RNAcentral.
ACUUCGGUCUGGUGGCGAGUGGCGAACGGGUGAGUAAUAUAUCGGAACGUGCCCAGUCGUGGGGGAUAACGUAGUGAAAAUUACGCUAAUACCGCAUACGAUCUAAGGAUGAAAGCGGGGGAUCGCAAGACCUCGCGCGAUUGGAGCGGCCGAUAUCAGAUUAGGUAGUUGGUGAGGUAAAGGCUCACCAAGCCAACGAUCUGUAGCUGGUCUGAGAGGACGACCAGCCACACUGGAACUGAGACACGGUCCAGACUCCUACGGGAGGCAGCAGUGGGGAAUUUUGGACAAUGGACGCAAGUCUGAUCCAGCCAUUCCGCGUGCAGGACGAAGGCCUUCGGGUUGUAAACUGCUUUUGUACAGAACGAAAAGGUCUCUAUUAAUACUAGGGGCUCAUGACGGUACUGUAAGAAUAAGCACCGGCUAACUACGUGCCAGCAGCCGCGGUAAUACGUAGGGUGCAAGCGUUAAUCGGAAUUACUGGGCGUAAAGCGUGCGCAGGCGGUUAUAUAAGACAGAUGUGAAAUCCCCGGGCUCAACCUGGGAACUGCAUUUGUGACUGUAUAGCUGGAGUGCGGCAGAGGGGGAUGGAAUUCCGCGUGUAGCAGUGAAAUGCGUAGAUAUGCGGAGGAACACCGAUGGCGAAGGCAAUCCCCUGGGCCUGCACUGACGCUCAUGCACGAAAGCGUGGGGAGCAAAC